Molecule: ribosomal RNA, 250 nt
Filed under: uncultured bacterium
Lineage: Bacteria
Description: partial 16S ribosomal RNA
Rfam family: Bacterial small subunit ribosomal RNA
Source: RNAcentral
UACAGAGGCCUCGAGCGUUGUUCGGAAUUACUGGGCGUAAAGGGAAUGUAGGCGGUGACGUAAGUCAGAUGUGAAAGCCCCGGGCUUAACCCGGGAAGGGCAUUUGAUACUGCGUCGCUAGAGUGCGAAAGAGGAAAGCGGAAUUCCAGGUGUAGGGGUGAAAUCCGUAGAUAUCUGGAGGAAUACCGAUGGCGAAGGCAGCUUUCUGGUUCGCAACUGACGCUGAGAUUCGAAAGCAUGGGGAGCAAAC